RNAcentral lists this ribosomal RNA (1018 nucleotides) under uncultured bacterium. RNAcentral's name for it is "bacterial SSU rRNA". It matches the Rfam family "Bacterial small subunit ribosomal RNA", at positions 338 to 1398 of the family's 1533-position model. The record is from RNAcentral.
CCUACGGGGGGCAGCAGUAGGGAAUCUUAGACAAUGGGGGCAACCCUGAUCUAGCCAUGCCGCGUGUGUGAUGAAGGCCCUAGGGUCGUAAAGCACUUUCGCCAGAGAUGAUAAUGACAGUAUCUGGUAAAGAAACCCCGGCUAACUCCGUGCCAGCAGCCGCGGUAAUACGGAGGGGGUUAGCGUUGUUCGGAAUUACUGGGCGUAAAGCGCACGUAGGCGGAUUAGUAAGUUAGAGGUGAAAUCCCAGGGCUCAACCCUGGAACUGCCUUUAAUACUGCUAGUCUUGAGUUCGAGAGAGGUAAGUGGAAUUCCGAGUGUAGAGGUGAAAUUCGUAGAUAUUCGGAGGAACACCAGUGGCGAAGGCGACUUACUGGCUCGAUACUGACGCUGAGGUGCGAAAGUGUGGGGAGCAAACAGGAUUAGAUACCCUGGUAGUCCACACCGUAAACGAUGAAUGCCAGACGUCAGCAAGUAUACUUGUUGGUGUCACACCUAACGGAUUAAGCAUUCCGCCUGGGGAGUACGGUCGCAAGAUUAAAACUCAAAGGAAUGACGGGGGCCCGCACAAGCGGUGGAGCAUGUGGUUUAAUUCGAAGCAACGCGCAGAACCUUACCAACCCUUGACAUCCUGUGCUACUACCAGAGAUGGUACGUUCCCUUCGGGGACGCAGUGACAGGUGCUGCAUGGCUGUCGUCAGCUCGUGUCGUGAGAUGUUCGGUUAAGUCCGGCAACGAGCGCAACCCACAUCUUUAGUUACCAGCAGGUUAAGCUGGGCACUCUAGAGAAACUGCCCGUGAUAAGCGGGAGGAAGGUGUGGAUGACGUCAGUCCUCAUGGCCCUUACGGGUUGGGCUACACACGUGCUACAAUGGCAGUGACAAUGGGUUAAUCCCCAAAAGCUGUCUCAGUUCGGAUUGGGGUCUGCAACUCGACCCCAUGAAGUCGGAAUCGCUAGUAAUCGCGUAACAGCAUGACGCGGUGAAUACGUUCCCGGGCCUUGUACACACCGCCCGUC